GACGAACGCUGGCGGCGUGCUUAACACAUGCAAGUCGAACGGAAAGGCCCUGCUUUUGUGGGGUGCUCGAGUGGCGAACGGGUGAGUAACACGUGAGUAACCUGCCCUUGACUUUGGGAUAACUUCAGGAAACUGGGGCUAAUACCGGAUAGGAGCUCCUGCUGCAUGGUGGGGGUUGGAAAGUUUCGGCGGUUGGGGAUGGACUCGCGGCUUAUCAGCUUGUUGGUGGGGUAGUGGCUUACCAAGGCUUUGACGGGUAGCCGGUCUGAGAGGGUGACCGGCCACAUUGGGACUGAGAUACGGCCCAGACUCCUACGGGAGGCAGCAGUGGGGAAUAUUGCACAAUGGGCGGAAGCCUGAUGCAGCAACGCCGCGUGCGGGAUGACGGCCUUCGGGUUGUAAACCGCUUUCGCCUGCGACGAAGCGUGAGUGACGGUAAUGGGUAAAGAAGCACCGGCUAACUACGUG
RNAcentral lists this ribosomal RNA (468 nucleotides) under uncultured bacterium. RNAcentral describes it as "partial 16S ribosomal RNA". It matches the Rfam family "Bacterial small subunit ribosomal RNA", at positions 28 to 507 of the family's 1533-position model. The record is from RNAcentral.